UACGUAGGGCGCAAGCGUUGUCCGGAAUUAUUGGGCGUAAAGAGCUCGUAGGCGGUUUGUCGCGUCUGCUGUGAAAACCUAAGGCUCAACCUUGGGCUUGCAGUGGGUACGGGCAGACUAGAGUGCGGUAGGGGUGACUGGAAUUCCUGGUGUAGCGGUGGAAUGCGCAGAUAUCAGGAAGAACACGCGUGGCGAAGGCGGCUCUCUGGGACGGUACUGACGCUGAGACGCGAAAGCGUGGGGAGCGAACAGG
Molecule: ribosomal RNA, 253 nt
Filed under: uncultured bacterium
Lineage: Bacteria
Description: partial 16S ribosomal RNA
Rfam family: Bacterial small subunit ribosomal RNA
Source: RNAcentral